This 80-nucleotide transfer RNA is filed under the name Apopellia endiviifolia. RNAcentral describes it as "tRNA-Asn". It matches the Rfam family "tRNA". Rfam says of the family: Transfer RNA (tRNA) molecules are approximately 80 nucleotides in length. Their secondary structure includes four short double-helical elements and three loops (D, anti-codon, and T loops). Further hydrogen bonds mediate the characteristic L-shaped molecular structure. tRNAs have two regions of fundamental functional importance: the anti-codon, which is responsible for specific mRNA codon recognition, and the 3' end, to which the tRNAs corresponding amino acid is attached (by aminoacyl-tRNA synthetases). tRNAs cope with the degeneracy of the genetic code in two manners: having more than one tRNA (with a specific anti-codon) for a particular amino acid; and 'wobble' base-pairing, i.e. permitting non-standard base-pairing at the 3rd anti-codon position. The record is from RNAcentral. Lineage: Eukaryota; Viridiplantae; Streptophyta; Jungermanniopsida; Pelliales; Pelliaceae.
UCUCUAGUAGCUCAGCGGUUAGAGCAAAUGGCUGUUAACUAUUGGGUCGUUGGUUCGAAUCCAACCUAGAGAGAACAGAG